RNAcentral lists this transfer RNA (72 nucleotides) under Mycolicibacterium mageritense. RNAcentral describes it as "tRNA-Glu". It matches the Rfam family "tRNA". Rfam says of the family: Transfer RNA (tRNA) molecules are approximately 80 nucleotides in length. Their secondary structure includes four short double-helical elements and three loops (D, anti-codon, and T loops). RNAcentral also lists the same sequence under 1 other name. Lineage: Bacteria; Bacillati; Actinomycetota; Actinomycetes; Mycobacteriales; Mycobacteriaceae. The record is from RNAcentral.
GGUCCGUUCGGUUAGUGGCAGGCCGCGGGUUUCUCAGACCCGUUGCGCGGGUUCGAUUCCCGCACGGACUAC